Molecule: long non-coding RNA, 1970 nt
Organism: Bombus terrestris (buff-tailed bumblebee)
Lineage: Eukaryota; Metazoa; Arthropoda; Insecta; Hymenoptera; Apidae
Exons: 2
Source: RefSeq, a predicted model, not a curated record
GGUGCGCGCUGUUUCCCUGGAAUUAUACGAUUGAAGAAAACACUUACUCGCCUGUGAAACGACCCCCGCCCCUCGGUUCAGCUUGCACUCGCGCGUGUCCGCGUUUCUCUGUCCGCUUUUACGAGCAGCCUUUGAUGGACUUUCCGUGUGCGUGAAGACGAACAAACGUUUUCCUCUUACGGACAAAUCGAACUGUUUAUCUUCGAUAAUGUCGUCGUACUUAACACGGCUGCAACAUUUUAAAACGAUUGUAAAGUGUCACGAACGAUCGCAUAACCGCUAAGCGUAAUCUUUCGGAAUCUUGUAGAUUUUAAAUGUCACAAAGCGAAAAUCGAAAGCUAACGUUUUCUCGCUUGUGUCUUGUCCGUAUCCAAAUUCUAUUGCACGCGUAAUGGUUUCUUUACGACACAGCGCGAAUACCACGCCUAUCUUCGAACGGUAACAUCCGUAGAAAAACGUGCAAGAGACAAAGAACGAGUCAUCAUACAGGUAACUGCGUAAAAUGAAUCGUUCGUUCGCAUUAGGAUAGUUAAAUCAAAGAAUGAAAAUAACGAUACACAUUGCACGUACCUGAAUUAAUGGAACGCAACUGAACGUACUUAAGGAUAGAAGAGCUUUUGCUUAUUAAGGCACUUUUAUACUGUAGGAUUACGUGGAAAUUCUUAAACGAACUGAUCAAAGUAAAGUGAACAGAAGUUAGGAAAGUUGAUAAGAUCCGUCAACUUAAAUGGGAGAACCUGUUUGCGACGCUAUAAGCGAUAAAAACAGUCAUUUAAAACAUUUAACUAAGAACGCUGGAAAUGUACGCUCCAUAUACAACACUAUGGUUACACCGUGGAGAAUCGACCGAGUUCUCGCCGCUCUGUGACAACUUUGAGGCAACUCUUCAGGCACACCUGUGUAUGUACCUAUUAUACUUCACCCAGUUCAUGAAAUAUUUCGUGUCUACGAUGUUGUUCAUUCCCCCGGAUCUUCUAUAUGCAAUCAAUUUGUAUUGUUUAACCCAACGAUGAAAAACUGUCAAUCGUUGAUAGUUUAGAAUAACAAACAAGCGCUUUAAUAAUUUAUAGUCCGUAACAAGGGACAGAAUUCCGGUUGGAUACGAAAGACUGUACGAAUUUAUAGAUUUCUCAAACGAUUUAAAAUAAUCCGAUCCGUUACUCGCUACUGCGACGAAGAUGACGACGAGGAUCUCGCGAAUCGUAGACUACGACGCAACAUAGCAAAGGAGUUACAGAAUAUAUGUAUUAUAAUACGAGGUGAUACAAUAAAAUAGAAGGCAAAUAACGAUCGUCAAAAGCUGACAGGGAUGAACAAAGACGAAUGUACAUAUGCGUCUUCGCAUUUCAUCGUACGUUAUUACAACGCGUUGGCGUGAUUUAUGACGAUACAAAUUAUUAGAUUCAGGCAUGACAUCCUUUCACGCGAGAUCGUUGUUUCUCUUAACGUUUGUUUCAGUUUUUAUUGUCACCAAGCCGCAUACGUGGCAUAGAAUAAACCCGAUAGUCAAUGGUUUCCUCGUGUGCUGCGUUUUGGAGGGUCAGGCGACUCCGAAUGUGUGAAAUUCUACAAUUACGCGAGAACAAUGCGAUAUUCUAUCAUUAUCGAUAUCGCUCGUCGUAGACAAUCUAUCAUAUUGGCGGCAACGGUUUUGAAAAAGAAAUAAAUAUAUAGCAAGUAUCAUCGAGAAGACAGCGGGUAACGAGUAAAUGAUAAAAAUUAAAUUUUCCUAAAUUAUGUAUAUUCUUUAAGACGCGAGGCUUAGGAUAAUACACAGAAGGUUAAGUAAAACUUUUAUAUUUUAGCUUCUAAAUGAGCAACUACCUCGAGUACGGUAAACAGUAAAGGCGGGCAAAUAAACUCGACUAAGCAACUGCUAUCUUGUACAGAAGUGUAACUGAAAUGAAAACAAGAGCAUCUUCUUAAAGCAUGCUCUUUAAGAGUUACAGAACUAUACAGUCGUUUGAAAA